UGAGGAAUAUUGGUCAAUGGGCGAGAGCCUGAACCAGCCAAGUCGCGUGAGGGAGUACUGCCCUAUGGGUUGUAAACCUCUUUUGUCGGGGAGCAAAAGCCGGACGUGUCCGUCUGUGAGAGUACCCGAAGAAAAAGCAUCGGCUAACUCCGUGCC
This 156-nucleotide ribosomal RNA is filed under the name uncultured bacterium. RNAcentral's name for it is "partial 16S ribosomal RNA". It matches the Rfam family "Bacterial small subunit ribosomal RNA", at positions 355 to 509 of the family's 1533-position model. The record is from RNAcentral.